This 484-nucleotide ribosomal RNA is filed under the name uncultured bacterium. RNAcentral describes it as "partial 16S ribosomal RNA". It matches the Rfam family "Bacterial small subunit ribosomal RNA", at positions 29 to 507 of the family's 1533-position model. The record is from RNAcentral.
AGUGAACGCUGGCGGCAGGCCUAACACAUGCAAGUCGAGCGGAUGAAGGGAGCUUGCUCCUGGAUUCAGCGGCGGACGGGUGAGUAAUGCCUAGGAAUCUGCCUGGUAGUGGGGGAUAACGUCCGGAAACGGGCGCUAAUACCGCAUACGUCCUGAGGGAGAAAGUGGGGGAUCUUCGGACCUCACGCUAUCAGAUGAGCCUAGGUCGGAUUAGCUAGUUGGUGGGGUAAAGGCCUACCAAGGCGACGAUCCGUAACUGGUCUGAGAGGAUGAUCAGUCACACUGGAACUGAGACACGGUCCAGACUCCUACGGGAGGCAGCAGUGGGGAAUAUUGGACAAUGGGCGAAAGCCUGAUCCAGCCAUGCCGCGUGUGUGAAGAAGGUCUUCGGAUUGUAAAGCACUUUAAGUUGGGAGGAAGGGCAGUAGGUUAAUACCUUGCUGUUUUGACGUUACCAACAGAAUAAGCACCGGCUAACUUCGUG